RNAcentral lists this long non-coding RNA (399 nucleotides) under Elaeis guineensis (African oil palm). RNAcentral describes it as "long non-coding RNA (EGUI_LNC040068)". The record is from RNAcentral. Lineage: Eukaryota; Viridiplantae; Streptophyta; Magnoliopsida; Arecales; Arecaceae.
CUCCUCCUCCAAUUCUAUUUAUGAGGCAAAUCAAUACCACCAUUUUCUUCCACGCUAACCUUUGCGACCCCAUUUUUUCUCUUCGUGGCAGCUCCCUUCACCUCCACCUCUUCUUUGCCAGUAACCCUUUCUUCCUCUUUGUUCCCUUUCUCUCCAUCUCUUUUUCCUUCUCAUCCUCCUCUUAUAUGAGCAAGGAGCAUUUUCGUUUGUUGAAAUGGCAAGCUAACACCAUUUACUAGUAAGUAAAUGAUAGGAUCACAUUAGAACAUUUUGAUAAUUAGAAUAAUCAGUUUGAUGCUUUUUAAAAUAUAGAUUGUAUAAGUGAAAUCGAAUUAAAUUUGAAUGAGUAUUUCUAUAAUUUAUCUUAAUAUGUGUUGUUAUUAUUGUUGUUGUUGGGAA